RNAcentral lists this ribosomal RNA (576 nucleotides) under uncultured eukaryote. Its description in RNAcentral is "SSU rRNA". It matches the Rfam family "Eukaryotic small subunit ribosomal RNA", at positions 203 to 784 of the family's 1831-position model. The record is from RNAcentral.
AUUUAUUAGAACAAAACCAAUCGGGCUUGCCCGUUGUUUGGUGAAUCUGAAUAACUAUGCAGAUCGCACAGUCCACGUACUGGCGACGUAUCUUUCAAAUGUCUGGCUUAUCAACUUUCGACGGUAGCUUACACGACUACCGUGGUAGUAACGGGUAACGGAGAAUAAGGGUUCGACUCCGGAGAGGGAGCCUGAGAAACGGCUACCACAUCCAAGGAAGGCAGCAGGCACGCAAAUUACCCACUCCCGGUACGGGGAGGUAGUGACGAAAAAUAACGAGACGGUUCUCUAAGAGGCCCGUCAUCGAAAUGGGUACAAUUUAAAUCCUUUAACGAGGAUCUAUUGGAGGGCAAGUCUGGUGCCAGCAGCCGCGGUAAUUCCAGCUCCAAAAGCGUAUAUUAAAGUCGUUGCGGUUAAAAAGCUCGUAGUUGGAUCUGCGCCUUAGGUUGGCGGUCUCCCAAAAGGGUUGUACUGCCGUACCUGGGCUUAUGUUCUAGUUUUCCCUUGGUGCUCUCCACCGAGUGCUUUGGGUGACUGGAAGUUUUACUUUGAAAAAAUUAGAGUGCUCAAAGCAGG